RNAcentral lists this ribosomal RNA (1242 nucleotides) under uncultured bacterium. RNAcentral's name for it is "partial 16S ribosomal RNA". It matches the Rfam family "Bacterial small subunit ribosomal RNA", at positions 55 to 1323 of the family's 1533-position model. The record is from RNAcentral.
AUGCAAGUCGAGCGGAAACGAUCCUAGCUUGCUAGGAGGCGUCGAGCGGCGGACGGGUGAGUAACACGUGAGAAUCUGCCCAUUAGAGGGGGAUAACCUGGGGAAACCCAGGCUAAUACCGCAUAAUCCCUACGGGGGAAAGCAGGGGAUCUUCGGACCAAACGGGGCUUCGGCUCCGGCGCAAAGAGAGGCCCAAGUGAGAUUAGCUAGUUGGUAAGGUAACGGCUUACCAAGGCGACGAUCUCUAGCUGUUCUGAGAGGAAGAUCAGCCACACUGGGACUGAGACACGGCCCAGACUCCUACGGGAGGCAGCAGUGGGGAAUAUUGCACAAUGGGGGAAACCCUGAUGCAGCCAUGCCGCGUGUGUGAAGAAGGCCUCCGGGUUGUAAAGCACUUUCAGUUGUGAGGUAAAGUUAGUAGUUAAUACCUGCUAGCCGUGACGUUAACAACAGAAGAAGCACCGGCUAACUCCGUGCCAGCAGCCGCGGUAAUACGGAGGGUGCGAGCGUUAAUCGGAAUUACUGGGCGUAAAGCGCACGCAGGCGGUUUGUUAAGCUAGAUGUGAAAGCCCCGGGCUCAACCUGGGAUGGUCAUUUGGAACUGGCAGACUAGAGUCUUGGAGAGGGGAGUGGAAUUCCAGGUGUAGCGGUGAAAUGCGUAGAUAUCUGGAGGAACAUCAGUGGCGAAGGCGACUCCCUGGCCAAAGACUGACGCUCAUGUGCGAAAGUGUGGGUAGCAAACAGGAUUAGAUACCCUGGUAGUCCACACCGUAAACGCUGUCUACUAGCUGUGUGUGCCUUUAAGGCGUGCGUAGCGAAGCUAACGCGCUAAGUAGACCGCCUGGGGAGUACGGCCGCAAGGUUAAAACUCAAAUGAAUUGACGGGGGCCCGCACAAGCGGUGAGCAUGUGUUUAAUUCGAUGCAACGCGAAGAACCUUACCUACACUUGACAUGCUGAAAAGUUACUAGAGAUAGUUUCGUGCCUUCGGGAACUCAGACACAGGUGCUGCAUGCUGUCGUCAGCUCGUGUCGUGGAUGUGGGUAGUCCGCACGAGCGCAACCCUGUCUAGUGCAGCAUAGUGGGCACUCUAGAACUGCGGUGAAAACGAGAGUGGACGACGUCAGUCAUCAUGCCCUUACGUGUAGGCUACCACGGCUAAUGCAUUACAAGGGGAGCGGAACAUGGAGUGGAGGAACCUAAAAAGUGCGGAUCCCCGAAUGGAUGGAACUGACAUCAGUGA